This is a long non-coding RNA of Carassius auratus (goldfish), 570 nucleotides long. RefSeq lists it as uncharacterized. The transcript has 2 exons. The record is from RefSeq and is a predicted model, not a curated record. NCBI's taxonomy places the organism in Eukaryota, Metazoa, Chordata, Actinopteri, Cypriniformes, Cyprinidae.
UGGGGUUGAAUUAUGUGUAAUGGUUUGUCUUUGAUGUUCAUCUAAAUCUAAGAAACCUGGCUGGUCUUGAUUACAAUACUCAGAUGGUGUCAUGGGCUGUGGAUUAAAAGGCUUAACAGAGCAUGGUAAUUGCACAGAUUGAUGUUGGGUUGGUGGCAAUCCUGGAGACGGAGGCUGGGUUAGUGCAGAGGAAGGACCAUGUUCAGCUGGUGCAGAAGCGACCCGAUUCUGGUUAUAAAAUGAUUCAGCAGAUGCAUAAUUUCUUUUUAUGUCCUUCUUUGCACCCUUUCUCGGGUCCUGCUUUUGGUCACAGAACCCAAUGUGAUCUACAGUGGCAUUAUAAAAUUUGUUGUCUGACCAUCUUGCAAGAACUCGAGCUCCUGGAAUGAGUCCCUCAAAGCUAGUAAUUGGCGACUCCUUUUCUGGCAGUGACUGGCUCACUGACUUUUCUUUUUUUGAUUGGGUUACGGAUUCUUUUAGGUAUCUCCAUCACACUGAUCUCUGUUCUGUGGAUAAGACCAAAUUCUCAGUACCAUAAACUAUGCCUAAUAAAAAGAUCUUUGUGGGCUA